UCCCGUGUGGCUCAGUUGGUGGAGCAUGGUGUUUGCAACGCCAGGGUUGUGGGUUCGAUUCCCACGGGGGGAC
RNAcentral lists this transfer RNA (73 nucleotides) under Salmo salar (Atlantic salmon). It matches the Rfam family "tRNA". Rfam says of the family: Transfer RNA (tRNA) molecules are approximately 80 nucleotides in length. The record is from Rfam by way of RNAcentral. Lineage: Eukaryota; Metazoa; Chordata; Actinopteri; Salmoniformes; Salmonidae.